Molecule: ribosomal RNA, 460 nt
Filed under: uncultured bacterium
Lineage: Bacteria
Description: partial 16S ribosomal RNA
Rfam family: Bacterial small subunit ribosomal RNA
Source: RNAcentral
CCUACGGGUGGCAGCAGUGAGGAAUAUUGGUCAAUGGGCGCGAGUCUGAACCAGCCAUGCCGCGUGAAGGAAGACGGCCCUAUGGGUUGUAAACUUCUUUUGUACGAGAAUAAACUCAGGUACGCGUAUCUUUCUGCAUGUAUCGUACGAAUAAGGAUCGGCUAACUCCGUGCCAGCAGCCGCGGUAAUACGGAGGAUGCAAGCGUUACCCGGAUUCAAGUGGCUUAAAGAGCGCGUAGGCGGGUUGUUAAGUCAGAUGUGAAAGUGUGUGGCUUAACCAUAGAACUGCAUUUGAAACUGUCAGUCUAGAGUAUGGGAGAGGUAGGUGGAAUGCGUGGUGUAGCGGUAAAAUGCGUAGAGAUCAAGAGGAACACUGAUUGCGAAGGCGACCUGCUAGAACAACACUGACGCUGAGGCGCGAAAGCGUGGGGAGCAAACAGGAUUAGAUACCCCGGUAGUC